GAUGAACGCUGGCGGCGUGCCUAAUACAUGCAAGUCGAGCGAACGGACGAGAAGCUUGCUUCUCUGAUGUUAGCGGCGGACGGGUGAGUAACACGUGGAUAACCUACCUAUAAGACUGGGAUAACUUCGGGAAACCGGAGCUAAUACCGGAUAAUUUUUGAACCGCAUGGUUCAAAAGUGAAAGACGGUCUUGCUGUCACUUAUAGAUGGAUCCGCGCUGCAUUAGCUAGUUGGUAAGGUAACGGCUUACCAAGGCAACGAUGCAUAGCCGACCUGAGAGGGUGAUCGGCCACACUGGAACUGAGACACGGUCCAGACUCCUACGGGAGGCAGCAGUAGGGAAUCUUCCGCAAUGGGCGAAAGCCUGACGGAGCAACGCCGCGUGAGUGAUGAAGGUCUUCGGAUCGUAAAACUCUGUUAUUAGGGAAGAACAUAUGUGUAAGUAACUGUACACAUCUUGACGGUACCUAAUCAGAAAGCCACGGCUAACUACGUG
RNAcentral lists this ribosomal RNA (496 nucleotides) under uncultured bacterium. Its description in RNAcentral is "partial 16S ribosomal RNA". It matches the Rfam family "Bacterial small subunit ribosomal RNA", at positions 28 to 507 of the family's 1533-position model. The record is from RNAcentral.